UACGGGGGGGGCAAGCGUUGUUCGGAAUUACUGGGCGUAAAGGGCUCGUAGGCGGCCAACUAAGUCAGACGUGAAAUCCCUCGGCUUAACCGGGGAACUGCAUCUGAUACUGGAUGGCUUGAGUUCGGGAGAGGGAUGCGGAAUUCCAGGUGUAGCGGUGAAAUGCGCAGAUAUCAGGAGGAACACCGGUGGCGAAGGCGGCUUGCUGGGCCUUACCUGACGCUGAGGAGCGAAAGCGUGGGGAGCGAACAGG
This 253-nucleotide ribosomal RNA is filed under the name uncultured bacterium. Its description in RNAcentral is "partial 16S ribosomal RNA". It matches the Rfam family "Bacterial small subunit ribosomal RNA", at positions 524 to 776 of the family's 1533-position model. The record is from RNAcentral.